GAUUCUAAUUAACUUAAAAACUAAAAUAAUGUAACUUUUAAUAAGAAAAAAUUUGAAUUUUAAAAAGGUUAUUAUUAGGAUUUAUUUAACAAAAAAGGUUUAAAACACUAAACUAGUUAAUUAGAGGAAAAAAUAACGUUUUUUUGUGUGUCCAAAUGAAAUAUAUAAGAGUAGUCUCUAUUUAUAGAUUGUAAAAAGUUAUGAAUUUUGAUAUAAUUUUAUUAUUUAAAAAUAAAAAUAUUAUAUAAUAAAUGAGUUUUAGUUAUUGGGUAAAAAUUAAAAAUAAAGUAAAUGUACACAACAUUUCUAUCUAAUCAAUUUAAGCCAAGUGGCAAAACUGGUCCACGUAAAAUUUUAUCAACAUGUUAAAUUUUCCAACGAAUGUUGAAUCCAUAGAGAUAGACACAAUAUUUCAACACUCUCAUUGCAGGGUAUUCAACAGUUGAAACUUAUUUUCAAUACCUCCACUGUGGGUGGUCUAACUUUUAUCAAAACUCUUAAAAUCAUAUAAAAUCUUAACAUUUUUACCAAAAAAAAAAAAAACAAACACAAUCACUAUUUCUCAUGACAAAAGUAAUCAACUAUAAAGUGUGUGGGUUUGGCUGCAUAUCCAUGAUGUAAAAUAUAUCGACCCACAUCCAUCUGAAAUCAUCCGCUUCGCAUAAACAAUUUGAAAAAAAUACCCAUAUCAGCCCCACGGCGGUCAAAC
This 709-nucleotide long non-coding RNA is filed under the name Brassica napus (rape). RNAcentral's name for it is "long non-coding RNA (BNAP_LNC004130)". Lineage: Eukaryota; Viridiplantae; Streptophyta; Magnoliopsida; Brassicales; Brassicaceae. The record is from RNAcentral.